CCAGACUCCUACGGGAGGCAGCAGUGGGGAAUAUUGGGCAAUGGGCGCAAGCCUGACCCAGCAACGCCGCGUGAAGGAAGAAGGCUUUCGGGUUGUAAACUUCUUUUAAGAGGGAAGAGCAGAAGACGGUACCUCUUGAAUAAGCCACGGCUAACUACGUGCCAGCAGCCGCGGUAAUACGUAGGGGGCAAGCGUUAUCCGGAUUUACUGGGUGUAAAGGGAGCGUAGACGGCAGUGCAAGUCCGGAGUGAAAGCCCGGGGCUCAACCCUGGGACUGCUCUGGAAACUGUAAAGCUGGAGUGCGGGAGGGGCAGGCGGAAUUCCUGGUGUAGCGGUGAAAUGCGUAGAUAUCAGGAGGAACACCGGCGGCGAAGGCGGCCUGCUGGACCGUAACUGACGUUGAGGCUCGAAAGCGUGGGGAGCAAACAGGAUUAGAUACCCCGGUAC
This 447-nucleotide ribosomal RNA is filed under the name uncultured bacterium. RNAcentral's name for it is "partial 16S ribosomal RNA". It matches the Rfam family "Bacterial small subunit ribosomal RNA", at positions 331 to 793 of the family's 1533-position model. The record is from RNAcentral.